Long non-coding RNA from Drosophila sulfurigaster albostrigata, 1069 nucleotides. RefSeq lists it as uncharacterized. The transcript is spliced from 2 exons. Lineage: Eukaryota; Metazoa; Arthropoda; Insecta; Diptera; Drosophilidae. The record is from RefSeq and is a predicted model, not a curated record.
ACCAAUGUGAGAUAUGCAAAUUUUUCUGUGAAGAGAGAUUAUGUAAUCAGCACAAUUACUAAUAUAUUAAUAUAUUGAAAUUAGUAUGAUGAUACAAUACAUAUAGACUAGAUAAAUGAACACAUUAUGUGUAUUGGAUUAAAAAAGAUUGGACCAUUUAAGCGCCAAUGAUGUUUUACACAUUCUUUACAACCACGUAGAUCAGAAAUAUAAACUAGACUAAUAAUGGACAGUCAUGUCAAGUACAUCCAAGGACACUCAAGUGCUAGCGCCAUUGUAAGCAAUGACAAGUGUUCUUCACAUACUCGCAGUAGAUGUCACAAUUCUUGCAAGCCAAAACCAAAAUCAAUUGAAUCAAGUAGUAGUUACUAUUGUUGUUUACUAUUGUUGUUACAGAGGCCACUUAUACCCAUAAUACACACGACCCGGCAAGGACCACUUUAAAUAGCUUUACUUAACUUUGCCAGAUCUUAAGCUUGGAUUACACAGAACGUUCAACAAACUUGAACAUAAAUGGUAUGUUAGGUUUUACAAAGAAUUCCGCCUUAAAAGCAUUCUCUAUGGGAUAGUCGAAGCCAAUUUCAAAGUUGCGCACCAGCCUGGCAACUGCAAUCUCCAGCAUCAUGUCAACAAUGCGCUUGCCAGCACAAGCUCGUGGUCCGAAGCCAAAUGGUAAAUACAUAAAGGGAGUGGACGUGUCACCCACUAGGUUUGAGCUAGAUUCGUCACGCAGCCAACGCUCGGGCAGAAACUCGCGAACGCGUGGAACAUACUGUUCCAUGUUUGCCAUCUGAUAGUUGGACGCCAUACCCACAUCCGUGCCAGCCACAACUCGGUAUCCACUCAAAACAACGUCAGUUGGCACUCGACGCAAGGUGCCAGGUCCAAUGGGAUACAUGCGAAUGCCCUCCUUGAUGCAAGCACGUAGAUAAGGUAAAUUUGAUGUGGAUUCUAUGGUCCAUUGCGAAUGCUUGUCCGGCAGUACGCCUUUGAUCUCCUCUAAUAAGCGGAAUUGUUUAGCGGGAUUCUUAGCUAACAUCAACAAAAUGCCGCACAAAGACACCAAGGU